Molecule: ribosomal RNA, 433 nt
Filed under: uncultured bacterium
Lineage: Bacteria
Description: partial 16S ribosomal RNA
Rfam family: Bacterial small subunit ribosomal RNA
Source: RNAcentral
AACGAACGCUGGCGGCAUGCCUAACACAUGCAAGUCGAACGAGACCUUCGGGUCUAGUGGCGCACGGGUGCGUAACGCGUGGGAACCUUCCCUUAGGUUCGGAAUAACUCCCCGAAAGGGGUGCUAAUACCGGAUAAUGUCUUCGGACCAAAGAUUUAUCGCCUUUGGAUGGGCCCGCGUUGGAUUAGCUAGUUGGUAGGGUAAAAGCCUACCAAGGCGACGAUCCAUAGCUGGUCUGAGAGGAUGAUCAGCCACACUGGGACUGAGACACGGCCCAGACUCCUACGGGAGGCAGCAGUGGGGAAUAUUGGACAAUGGGCGAAAGCCUGAGCCAGCAAUGCCGCGUGAGUGAUGAAGGCCUUAGGGUUGUAAAGCUCUUUUACCCGGGAUGAUAAUGACAGUACCGGGAGAAUAAGCUCCGGCUAACUCCGUG